GGGGAGGCCGGGGGCAGAGAGGCGGUGGUGGGCAGGGGGAGGACGCUGCGCUCCAGUGCAGCAGGAAGCUGUGCUGGCAGCACCCAGCUGAGUGGGGAAAAGGGCCCUCAGCGCUCUGCUUCACUGGAGGAUGAAGUGCUAUCACAGCUACCUGCUCGCCUGCCUUCUCCUAAACUGUCAGAUUUCCAUGUCCUUCCAAAGACUUGCUGCAAUCCAGACAAGAUGACUGCAUUUCAGUGCUGACUGGAGCCUUUGCAGUGCAGCCUAUAAAACACUUUGGGAGCUUUCCAGAAGGAAGAUGGUUGAGAAACAUCAGCAGUAGCAGUCCAUACACCUUCCCUGACACUGUCCUUUGUGACCCUUUCCCAGUCCUCUCUUCUCCCUCCUCCCGUCCCUAUGCAACCAUUUCCAGAACUGGAGAGUGGUGCUACCAGGCAGGGAAGGAGUGUCUUUCCAAAAUGAGAUUUGCCUCAAUUUCCAUUAGCAACGGAAAAGAGAAGGGGAAAAAAAAAACGUCCAAAUUAAGCUGCUUGAUUACUGAAAUUAAUCUUGUCACUUAGCAUCCCUAUUCCACGGAACAGGGCCUUUGAUUAGCCUCCUUGUUUCAGAAUAUUACAAGCAGACGUUUAUUAAGCAGAAGACAAUUUCUCCGCAGGGGGAGAGGGGCAGCUGAUUCCCAAGGGAAGGCAGCUCCUGGGGUAAGACACAGCCCUGGCUAUGAUCGCAUCACUGGCACGCAGGGGGUGCUACUCUGACAAUGCAACCAGGAGCCCCCAAGGAUCCUCCAAAAUCCUCCCCCCAACAUAUGACUAAGGCCCAUCCUGUUGUUACAGCCAUAGGCUUGGUAUUUAUAAGGCUGGCAGCUCUUGCAGCAAGUUAUCGCUUACUAUUACCAUCACCCUGACAGCCCUCCAAGGCUGUGAGGUGCUGUGCCUCCCCUGCCUGGCAUGCUUUGAGCACUAAGGGAAUGCAGCCAGGCUGGGAGCACUCCCCUGGGCAACAAGCAGAUCAGGGGACUCACGUGUGGGGCUUCCAGCACUGCAUUUCCCUCCCUGCUUCCUCCCCAGUACCAUGCAGCAUCUCAAACCAUGGGGUUAUGACUUUGCACAUCCAUGCUGUCAUAGGCUGCUGUGAGCAUUUCAGUUCCAUAGGAGGUACACACGCAAAAACCACUGCCUCAGUGCAGGCAUACGCUGUGCUUCUGACCCAUCACAGUAUGCCAUAAUUGCCUGAGUGGCUGAAGGAAGAGCUCAUAGAGGGCAGCAGGAUGCCACCAGCAUGCUUCCAGGAUCCUGCCCUUCUCUAGGAGGUACCAGCCAGGAGUUCCUGGUGCCGCUGAUACAGAAAUGGAACAAGAUAGGAUAGGAGUUUAUAUCCUAUGUCCUUUUCUGACUGAACGCCCCAGACAAAAGAUACGUGGACACGGUAACAUGUUCACCACCAUCCCAGGCAAAUCACAGGCAAAUUUUAAGUAAGCUAAACUGAUGACCAGAUUUCAGUGCUGUCAUCCAGCAUUGAAAGGUUGUAAAAUCAAAGAUCAACUCUUUUUGCUGUUUUCCUUCUCCCAGCUAUGCAAGGGAUGUUUUUGUAUUUCAGACCUCAUGCACAGCACUGAUAUUAUAAAAUGGCUACAUUCCAGUCUGUGUGCUACAGCACCACAGUGUCAGUGCUUCGUCCUCCAGGAGAGAUAGAGUAGAGGAAACCAUGAGAGUAAGGCCUUUAUAUGCUUAAAGUACAACUGUUUACAGACUGUUGUUCUGGAAACUGGCAAAAUUUGGCAGUUUUCAAACCACUUUCAUCAAAGUGCCUCCAACUACUUUACAAACACUAACCAACUAAGUUUCACAGUAAGCCAAAUCCUCCAAGUGCUUGUUUGCACUCACCAGUGAGGCCAAACUUGUUUGUCCCCUGGGGAAGUAAAUACAUAUCAUAAUCAUUUCUGUUCUACAGACAUGCAAACUGAGGCAUUGGGAAACCAAGUGGUUCAGAGAUGAGCCAAGAGCAGAAGGGAUCUUUUCUUGCUUUGGUUUUUCAGCAGCCCUCUGCAUCCCCACUCUUUGUGAUGCAGCCUCUCAGCUCCCAAGCUGCAUUUAGUAGCACAGAUAUAACAGCAGAUCAAAAAUCCUAGAGCUGACCAAACUUCUUUGAACCUCCAAAACUAUUCUGAGGGGCACAGCUGGAGGCUGGGACACAGGUGUGCAACAAGCUCCAAUUUUAUCUAAGCUGAUUUUGGCCUGCUCAAAUUUUCCUCCCCCACGGUGGUGGGCAGAGCGUAUGGGCUGAUGGAGAAACAGCACUCUGAUGAGGCACCUACAGGUUUGCUGAGGUUUUGUUUGCGGGUUUGCUACUUCUUGGGUACCAGGGCUGUGUGAAGCAUUGAAAUUCCACCCUGAGCAGCAGUGAGCGGCAGAACCUGGUUUCCAUAGCACUGCCAUGGAAACCGCGCUCUGCGAAUCUGUGCCUCCAGGCCCCUCUGCGGCUGAAGCAUCUCUUGCUCAUCCCCUGCACCCUCCUCCACAUUGCAAGCCCCCAGACCUCACUGCAUGCUUCAAAUAAUUAUAGGGUGUAGUGCAAAGGAAAAGCGGACCCUAUUUGGUUCUAUCCUGGAACACUGUAUGUAAAACUGUGCUUGGAAGAAAAAUACUAACAGCAUACUUGCUUCCCCCCUUUCCAUACACAGAAGUAGAGAAACCUGCAGUUAAAAUUCCUCAACUCACAUUCACACAAGUCAAAUCUUGCCUGGUGAUAUAUUAUGGUGGAAACCCAAUAUUCUCAUGCAAUGUGUCCUUUUACCUGCCUUUGCCUUUGUGGAACACUGGCUUCAAAAAAGAAAGAAUUAACUAUUGGAAUGUGGAAAAA
Phasianus colchicus (ring-necked pheasant) is the source of this 2859-nucleotide non-coding RNA. The record is from RefSeq and is a predicted model, not a curated record. Lineage: Eukaryota; Metazoa; Chordata; Aves; Galliformes; Phasianidae.